UACGUAGGGUGCGAGCGUUGUCCGGAAUUAUUGGGCGUAAAGAGCUCGUAGGCGGUGUGUCACGUCGGCCGUGAAAACCUGCAGCUUAACUGUGGGCGUGCGGUCGAUACGGGCAUCACUGGAGUUCGGCAGGGGAGACUGGAAUUCCUGGUGUAGCGGUGAAAUGCGCAGAUAUCAGGAGGAACACCCGUGGCGAAGGCGGCUCUCUGGGACGGUACUGACGCUGAGACGCGAAAGCGUGGGGAGCGAACAGG
This 254-nucleotide ribosomal RNA is filed under the name uncultured bacterium. RNAcentral's name for it is "partial 16S ribosomal RNA". It matches the Rfam family "Bacterial small subunit ribosomal RNA", at positions 524 to 776 of the family's 1533-position model. The record is from RNAcentral.